CCCACUUUCUCUCAGGAAGCCAAGGGUGCCAGUUCUGGGCCAGCCCUGACCCAUCCCUCUGGCCACGCCUCACUGCCAUGGUUGCAUUGCCUGUGCAGGAGCCAGACAGGCGGUCCUCACUGGAUUUUUGCCAGACCCGGAUGUCCUGAAAUCUCAGUUGCACACAAAACCUACUGUGCCCUUUUGUCCUGAAUUCCCCAACUGCAUUUCUUUCCAAGAACAUCCUUUUUUCCAAAUGAAUAUUCCCAGGUCAUUUCUUGAGGGAAUUAUAUGUUGUUGUUUUUAACUUGUUGGACUACAUGUACAAAAGAAGUCAAAUGCUCCCAUAUGAAACUGAUCUAGGCCUAAGCUGACCUCAGAGGGGAAAGAAGAGCUGGGGGCAAUGAGGUCUCACUGCUUCUGGGACCUUCUCCCUCAGAAAUACAUUUCUGGAGCAAGAGACCCCUGAGAUGCUGGAUAGAGGCAAAGACAUUCACUUCACUGAGUGCAAUGGGACCAGGCCCAUUCCUUCCAAGGACCUGACUUGCCCUGCCUUCCCAAGAGACAGCACUGGUCUUGCUGGCUCCAUCCUCCAGCCUCUUUUCCCAAGGCCAGGGAACUAUGCAUUCCCUCUUUCCUGCAUCACAAGCACCUGCAAGGACCUGCCCAGCAGCAGCAGGAAAUCUGCAGACCAUGUGGGGCAAGGGGCUUGCAUAAACUCAAGGUGAAUCAGCCUGGCAAACACCUCCACCCAACAGCCCAUUUGCCAAGGCAAGAGAAGAUCUAGAACAUGGCUCUUCUAUAAGUCUUCCCUUGAUGCCACUGGCCACGGGUCCAUGGAAACUCUGCUGCUCUGGGAAAGGACAGGCCACAGCCCCCCAGGUCCUACCAGACUGGGGCAGAAGAAGGCAGACAAGGCACUGUCCAAGCUAAAAGGAGCCAAUGGGAUGCUGUGCUCCAGGAGGUCAAGAACUACGGCAGGGCUGUGGUAGCCAGGUUCCCAGCUGGACUCAGAGCAUGUGGAAGGGCACCUCCCCUCCUGUGACUUGCUAUGCAAGUCUCCAGCAAGUGGCAGGUGUGAAAAUCACUUGCCAGCUGUGCAUCCUACAUUAAUUAAUCUCUGGA
Molecule: long non-coding RNA, 1104 nt
Filed under: Fukomys damarensis (Damara mole-rat)
Lineage: Eukaryota; Metazoa; Chordata; Mammalia; Rodentia; Bathyergidae
Description: lncRNA (ENSFDAG00000032231.1)
Source: RNAcentral